UCCUUAUCAAGAGUGGUGGAGGGACUGGCCCUAUGAAGCCCGGCAACCGGCAGCAGCUAAUCCUGCUGUAAAGGUGCCAAAUCCUGCAGAAGUGUAUUACUUCUGACAGAUAAGGA
Molecule: non-coding RNA, 116 nt
Filed under: Natranaerobius thermophilus
Lineage: Bacteria; Bacillati; Bacillota; Clostridia; Natranaerobiales; Natranaerobiaceae
Also listed under: 1 other name
Description: SAM-I sequence
Rfam family: SAM riboswitch aptamer (S box leader)
About the family: The SAM riboswitch is found upstream of a number of genes which code for proteins involved in methionine or cysteine biosynthesis in Gram-positive bacteria. The SAM riboswitch acts at the level of transcription termination control.
Source: RNAcentral